AACGAACGCUGGCGGCAUGCCUAACACAUGCAAGUCGAACGAGACCUUCGGGUCUAGUGGCGCACGGGUGCGUAACGCGUGGGAACCUGCACUUAGGUUCGGAAUAACUCCCCGAAAGGGGUGCUAAUACCGGAUAAUGUCUUCGGCCCAAAGAUUUAUCGCCUUUGGAUGGGCCCGCGUUGGAUUAGGUAGUUGGUAGGGUAAAAGCCUACCAAGGCGACGAUCCAUAGCUGGUUUGAGAGGAUGAUCAGCCACACUGGGACUGAGACACGGCCCAGACUCCUACGGGAGGCAGCAGUGGGUAAUAUUGGACAGUGGGCGAAAGCCUGAUCCAGCAAUGCCGCGUGAGUGAUGAAGGCCUUAGAGUUGUAAAGCUCUUUUACCCGGGAUGAUAAUGACAGUACCGGGAGAAUAAGCUCCGGCUAACUCCGUG
RNAcentral lists this ribosomal RNA (433 nucleotides) under uncultured bacterium. RNAcentral describes it as "partial 16S ribosomal RNA". It matches the Rfam family "Bacterial small subunit ribosomal RNA", at positions 29 to 507 of the family's 1533-position model. The record is from RNAcentral.